RNAcentral lists this ribosomal RNA (497 nucleotides) under uncultured bacterium. RNAcentral's name for it is "partial 16S ribosomal RNA". It matches the Rfam family "Bacterial small subunit ribosomal RNA", at positions 28 to 507 of the family's 1533-position model. The record is from RNAcentral.
GACGAACGCUGGCGGCGUGCCUAAUACAUGCAAGUUGAGCGCUGAAGGUUGGUACUUGUACCGACUGGAUGAGCGGCGAACGGGUGAGUAACGCGUGGGGAAUCUGCCUUUGAGCGGGGGACAACAUUUGGAAACGAAUGCUAAUACCGCAUAAAAACUUUAAACACAAGUUUUAAGUUUGAAAGAUGCAAUUGCAUCACUCAAAGAUGAUCCCGCGUUGUAUUAGCUAGUUGGUGAGGUAAAGGCUCACCAAGGCGAUGAUACAUAGCCGACCUGAGAGGGUGAUCGGCCACAUUGGGACUGAGACACGGCCCAAACUCCUACGGGAGGCAGCAGUAGGGAAUCUUCGGCAAUGGACGAAAGUCUGACCGAGCAACGCCGCGGGAGUGAAGAAGGUUUUCGGAUCGUAAAACUCUGUUGGUAGAGAAGAACGUUGGUGAGAGUGGAAAGCUCAUCAAGUGACGGUAACUACCCAGAAAGGGACGGCUAACUACGUG